UACGUAGGGACCAAGCGUUGUUCGGAUUUACUGGGCGUAAAGGGCGCGUAGGCGGCAUUGUUAGUCACUUGUGAAAUCUCCGGGCUUAACUCGGAAUGGCCAAGUGAUACUGCAGUGCUAGAGUGCAGAAGGGGCAAUCGGAAUUCUUGGUGUAGCGGUGAAAUGCGUAGAUAUCAAGAGGAACACCUGAGGUGAAGACGGGUUGCUGGGCUGACACUGACGCUGAGGCGCGAAAGCCAGGGGAGCAAACGGG
RNAcentral lists this ribosomal RNA (253 nucleotides) under uncultured Blastocatellaceae bacterium. RNAcentral describes it as "partial 16S ribosomal RNA". It matches the Rfam family "Bacterial small subunit ribosomal RNA", at positions 524 to 776 of the family's 1533-position model. Lineage: Bacteria; Pseudomonadati; Acidobacteriota; Blastocatellia; Blastocatellales; Blastocatellaceae. The record is from RNAcentral.